RNAcentral lists this ribosomal RNA (465 nucleotides) under uncultured bacterium. RNAcentral's name for it is "partial 16S ribosomal RNA". It matches the Rfam family "Bacterial small subunit ribosomal RNA", at positions 28 to 507 of the family's 1533-position model. The record is from RNAcentral.
GACGAACGCUGGCGGCGUGCUUAACACAUGCAAGUCGAACGGAAAGGCCCUGCUUGCAGGGUACUCGAGUGGCGAACGGGUGAGUAACACGUGGGUGAUCUGCCCUGCACUUCGGGAUAAGCCUGGGGAACUGGGUCUAAUACCGGAUAGGAGCCAUUUUUAGUGUGAUGGUUGGAAAGUUUUUUCGGUGUAGGAUGAGCUCGCGGCCUAUCAGCUUGUUGGUGGGGUAAUGGCCUACCAAGGCGGCGACGGGUAGCCGGCCUGAGAGGGUGGACGGCCACAUUGGGACUGAGAUACGGCCCAGACUCCUACGGGGGGCAGCAGUGGGGAAUAUUGCACAAUGGGCGCAAGCCUGAUGCAGCGACGCCGCGUGGGGGAUGACGGCCUUCGGGUUGUAAACUCCUUUCGCUAGGGACGAAGCUUUUUGUGACGGUACCUAGAUAAGAAGCACCGGCUAACUACGUG